AUUGAACGCUGGCGGCAGGCCUAACACAUGCAAGUCGAGCGAGCGGCGGACGGGUGAGUAAUGUAUAGGAAACUGCCCGAUGGAGGGGGAUAACUACUGGAAACGGUAGCUAAUAUCGCAUACCAUCGGAUGUGCCCAGAUGGGAUUGGCUAGUAGGGGGGGUAACGGCUCACGUAGGCGACGAUCCCUAGCGUGUCUGAGAGGAUGACCAGCCACACUGGAACUGAGACACGGUCCAGACUCCUACGGGAGGCAGCAGUGGGGAAUAUUGCACAAUGGGCGCAAGCCUGAUGCAGCCAUGCCGCGUGUAUGAAGAAGGCCUUCGGGUUGUAAAGUACUUUCAGCGGGGAGGCGUUACCCGCAGAAGAAGCACCGGCUAACUCCGUGCCAGCAGCCGCGGUAAUAC
Molecule: ribosomal RNA, 406 nt
Filed under: uncultured bacterium
Lineage: Bacteria
Description: partial 16S ribosomal RNA
Rfam family: Bacterial small subunit ribosomal RNA
Source: RNAcentral